UUACGCCCAUAUCACGUUGCAACACUGGUACCCGUACGAUUACCGAAGUUAAGCAACGUUGAGCCUAGUCAGUACCUAGAUGGGUAACCGCUUGAAAAUAACAGGUAUU
Acanthosepion pharaonis is the source of this 109-nucleotide non-coding RNA. The record is from the annotation of a GenBank genome assembly. Lineage: Eukaryota; Metazoa; Mollusca; Cephalopoda; Sepiida; Sepiidae.